UAGUGGCGGACGGGUGAGUAACGCGUGAGAAUCUAGCUUCAGAAUGGGGACAACAGAGGGAAACCGCUGCUAAUACCCGAUGUGCCGAAAGGUGAAAGAUUUAUCGUCUGAAGAUGAGCUCGCGUCCGAUUAGCUAGUUGGUAGGGUAAAAGCCUACCAAGGCGACGAUCGGUAGCUGGUCUGAGAGGAUGACCAGCCACACUGGGACUGAGACACGGCCCAGACUCCUACGGGAGGCAGCAGUGGGGAAUUUUCCGCAAUGGGCGAAAGCCUGACGGAGCAAGACCGCGUGAGGGAGGAAGGCUCUUGGGUUGUAAACCUCUUUUCUCUGGGAAGAAGCUCUGACGGUACCAGAGGAAUCAGCAUCGGCUAACUCCGUGCCAGCAGCCGCGGUAAUACGGAGGAUGCAAGCGUUAUCCGGAAUUAUUGGGCGUAAAGCGUCCGUAGGUGGCAAUUCAAGUCUGCCGUUAAAACCAGUGGCUUAACUACUGAGGGGCGGUGGAAACUGAAUAGCUAGAGUGUGGUAGGGGUAGAGGGAAUUCCCAGUGUAGCGGUGAAAUGCGUAGAGAUUGGGAAGAACACCGGUGGCGAAAGCGCUCUGCUGGACCACAACUGACACUCACAGGACGAAAGCUAGGGGAGCGAAAGGGAUUAGAUACCCCUGUAGUCCU
RNAcentral lists this ribosomal RNA (671 nucleotides) under Phormidium chalybeum PUPCCC 118.8. RNAcentral describes it as "bacterial SSU rRNA". It matches the Rfam family "Bacterial small subunit ribosomal RNA", at positions 93 to 797 of the family's 1533-position model. Lineage: Bacteria; Bacillati; Cyanobacteriota; Cyanophyceae; Oscillatoriales; Oscillatoriaceae. The record is from RNAcentral.